This 445-nucleotide ribosomal RNA is filed under the name uncultured bacterium. RNAcentral's name for it is "partial 16S ribosomal RNA". It matches the Rfam family "Bacterial small subunit ribosomal RNA", at positions 354 to 796 of the family's 1533-position model. The record is from RNAcentral.
GUGAGGAAUAUUGGUCAAUGGGCGGGAGCCUGAACCAGCCAAGUCGCGUGAAGGAAGAAGGAUCUAUGGUUCGUAAACUUCUUUUGCAGGGGAAUAAAGUGCAGGACGUGUCCUGUUUUGUAUGUACCCUGAGAAUAAGGAUCGGCUAACUCCGUGCCAGCAGCCGCGGUAAUACGGAGGAUCCGAGCGUUAUCCGGAUUUAUUGGGGUUACAGGGUGCGUAGGUGGUUUGAUAAGUCAGCGGUGAAAGUUUGCAGCUUAACUGUAAAAAUGCCGUUGAAACUGUCGGUCUUGAGUGUAAAUGAGGUAGGCGGAAUGCGUGGUGUAGCGGUGAAAUGCAGAGAUAUCACGCAGAACUCCGAUUGCGAAGGCAGCUUACUAAGCUACAACUGACACUGAAGCACGAAAGCGUGGGGAUCAAACAGGAUUAGAUACCCGUGUAGUCC